Molecule: long non-coding RNA, 753 nt
Organism: Balaenoptera ricei (Rice's whale)
Lineage: Eukaryota; Metazoa; Chordata; Mammalia; Artiodactyla; Balaenopteridae
Exons: 2
Source: RefSeq, a predicted model, not a curated record
UCUUUGUGAACAAAGAUGAAACAAUUACUUUUUUUCCCUGCCUGAUCCCUCCAGAAUUCAGAAACUCUCAAAAUGCUUCUUAUAAAGUACCUGAUUGCUUGCACCAUAGGCCUCACUUUUGGAGCCCACCUGCCUCACUGCCUCCUAAAAUGAGACACAACUGUUUAACUAAACUGAUCUAUUUUCAGACUAAGAGACUGGUUCCAUAGAUGGAGCAAUCUACCAACUCAACUUCUGGACUAUAAAAUUUCUUGAAUAAAUUUUAAAGGCAGGACUGGAGGGUUUCAGAAUGAGCCUCCCCAAAAUGUGUCACUUUGGCAUGUGGAUUUAUUUGAGCUGAAGACAAUCAAGGCCCAAAUGACUCAGGAAGAACUUUUUACCUUUCCCCUUAACUGCCCAAAAGAAUUUAGAUUGAGGGCCUGGUCCAGGAAGAGAGCUAUCACCAAAGAUAGCUACAGAGAAUAUGGGCUAGGUGUGGUAAAUUGGGUGGGGGGAAGCUAGGCAGGGCCUGUGGACCAAAUUCCUCUCUGUGUCCCAUUGUCUCUGUAUGGCAUGGAAAACAUUUGUUUACCAGACAUUUGCUUUUCCUAUCUUCUUGUAAAUUGUCUUCCUUCCCUUUGAAGCCCUAGACCCCUACCCUUUUCUCCGCAGCUCAGGAUGGCAUAUAAGUCUCAACUGCCUGACUUCCUGUGGGUCUCAUAUUCUUAUGGGGCUCCUGUACAUACAUAAUUAAAUUUGUUUUUCUCCUGUUAA